UACAGAGACUGCAAGCGUUAUUCGGAUUCACUGGGCGUAAAGGGUGCGCAGGCGGUCGGGUGUGUCAGAUGUGAAAUCCCGAGGCUCAACCUCGGAACUGCGUCUGAAACUACUCGACUAGAGUACUGGAGAGGGUAACGGAAUUCACGGUGUAGCAGUGAAAUGCGUAGAUAUCAAGAGGAACACCUGAGGUGAAGACGGGUUGCUGGGCCGACACUGACGCUGAGUGCGCGAAAGCCAGGGGAGCAAACGGG
RNAcentral lists this ribosomal RNA (254 nucleotides) under uncultured bacterium. RNAcentral describes it as "partial 16S ribosomal RNA". It matches the Rfam family "Bacterial small subunit ribosomal RNA", at positions 524 to 776 of the family's 1533-position model. The record is from RNAcentral.